UACGGAGGGAGCUAGCGUUGUUCGGAAUUACUGGGCGUAAAGCGCACGUAGGCGGCUUUUUAAGUCAGGGGUAAAAUCCCGGAGCUCAACUCCGGAACUGCCCUUGAAACUGGGAAGCUAGAAUCUUGGAGAGGCGAGUGGAAUUCCGAGUGUAGAGGUGAAAUUCGUAGAUAUUCGGAAGAACACCAGUGGCGAAGGCGACUCGCUGGACAAGUAUUGACGCUGAGGUGCGAAAGCGUGGGGAGCAAACAGG
This 253-nucleotide ribosomal RNA is filed under the name uncultured bacterium. Its description in RNAcentral is "partial 16S ribosomal RNA". It matches the Rfam family "Bacterial small subunit ribosomal RNA", at positions 524 to 776 of the family's 1533-position model. The record is from RNAcentral.